Non-coding RNA from Nannospalax galili (Upper Galilee mountains blind mole rat), 131 nucleotides. The record is from Ensembl. Lineage: Eukaryota; Metazoa; Chordata; Mammalia; Rodentia; Spalacidae.
UGGGAGACAGAUACACAAAUUGGGCGAAAAUACUGCUCUAAUUGUCACUGUAUCUCCCAAGAAUAAAUUGCCUUUUGAUGACCAGGACGAGUUGAGUGAAAUCGUCAUGGACAGAUACGGGGCAGACAAUU